AGCCUGAUGCACCAUGCCGCGUGUAUGAAGAAGGCCUUCGGGUUGUAAAGUACUUCAGAGGGAGGAAGGUUCAUGCGUUAAUAGCGUAUGGAUUUGACGUUACCUACAGAAGAAGCACCGGCUAACUCCGUGCCAGCAGCCGCGGUAAUACGGAGGGUGCGAGCGUUAAUCGGAAUUACUGGGCGUAAAGCGCAUGCAGGUGGUUAGUUAAGUCAGAUGUGAAAGCCCGGGGCUCAACCUCGGAAUUGCAUUUGAAACUGGCUGACUAGAGUACUGUAGAGGGGGGUAGAAUUUCAGGUGUAGCGGUGAAAUGCGUAGAGAUCUGAAGGAAUACCGGUGGCGAAGGCGGCCCCCUGGACAGAUACUGACACUCAGAUGCGAAAGCGUGGGGAGCAAACAGGAUUAGAUACCCUGGUAGUCCACGCCGUAAACGAUGUCUACUUGGAGGUUGUGGCCUUGAGCCGUGGCUUUCGGAGCUAACGCGUUAAGUAGACCGCCUGGG
This 502-nucleotide ribosomal RNA is filed under the name Vibrio sp. 4UM2,2 7. Its description in RNAcentral is "bacterial SSU rRNA". It matches the Rfam family "Bacterial small subunit ribosomal RNA", at positions 380 to 877 of the family's 1533-position model. The record is from RNAcentral. Lineage: Bacteria; Pseudomonadati; Pseudomonadota; Gammaproteobacteria; Vibrionales; Vibrionaceae.